Molecule: non-coding RNA, 1231 nt
Filed under: Solanum lycopersicum (tomato)
Lineage: Eukaryota; Viridiplantae; Streptophyta; Magnoliopsida; Solanales; Solanaceae
Description: Bacterial large subunit ribosomal RNA
Rfam family: Bacterial large subunit ribosomal RNA
Source: Rfam by way of RNAcentral
UGACCGGUCCUUUCGAGCUUCCAGUUCUUCUGGAUUUCAGUCCUGGAUGGCACUCUUGAUCAAGCUUUCGAACUGCUGCUGAAUCCAUGGGCAGUUAAGAUAGAACCAGGUGAAUUGAAAGAUCUUUGUAGCCAAAGGAAAAGGAAGAAAAAGUGAUUCCCGUAGUAAUGCCUGGCGAAAUGGGAGCUGCCUAAACCGUGAAAAUAGGGUUGUGGAAGAGAAAUACAAGAGUCGUACAUGUAGGCGAAGCAACCCGAAUGCUGCACCCUAGAUGGCAAAAGUCCAGUAGUCGAAAGCAUCACUAGCUUAGGCUCUGACACGAGUAGCAUGGGGCACAUGGAAUCCCGUGUGAAUUAGCAAGGACCACCUUGCAAGGCUAAAUACUCCUGGGUGACAGAUAGUGAUGUAGUACUGUGAGGGUAAAGAACCCCCGGGAGUGACACAGAACAUAAAAGUGUAAGCUCCCAAGCAAUGGGAGGAGCCAGGGCUCUAACCGCGUGCCUUUUGAAGAAUGAGUCGGCGACUCAUAGGUAGUGGCUUGGUUAAGGGACCCACCAGAGCCAUAACGACAGCGAGUCUUCAUAGGGAAAGUGUCACUGCUUAUAGACCCAAACCUGGGUUAUCUAUCCAUGACCAGGAUGAAGCUUGGAUGAAACUAAGUGGAGGUCCGACCGACUGAUGUUAAUGAAUCAGCGGGUGAGUUAUGGUUAGGGUUAAAUGUCAUUGCACCCAGGCUAGUUUGUUAUCCCCGAAAUGUGUUGAGGCGUAGCAGUUAACUGGACUUCUAGGGGUAAAUCAUUGUUUCGGUUGUGGCCGCAAGGGCGGUACCAAAUUGAGGCAAACACUGAAUACUAGAUAUGACCUCAAAAUAACAGGGGGGGAGGUUGGCUAGUGAGACGAUGGGGGAUGAGCCUCAUCGUCGAGAGGGAAAGAGCCCGGAUCACCAGUUAAGGACCCUAAAUAACAACUCAAUGAUGGGGGGGACAAGCCUCACCGUUGAGAGUGCAUAAUAGCUCACAGAUCGAGAUCUCUUGCGCCAAAGAGGACCGGGGCUAAGCGAUCUGCCGAAGAUGUGGGAUGUGAAAACACAUCGACAGGGAUAUUUAAAUUCCUUGUCAACUCUUUCCAGUAUUUUCCAAAAACCAGCAAUUAGGAAUAGAGAAUAUAUAUAUAAGAAAGGUCUAACUGUUGGAAUCAUUUUUUCAUUGCAAUUUGAUACAUUUCAGUCAUU